CCUACGGGAGGCUGCAGUCGAGAAUCAUUCACAAUGGGGGAAACCCUGAUGGUGCGACGCCGCGUGGGGGAAUGAAGGUCUUCGGAUUGUAAACCCCUGUCAUGUGGGAGCAAAUUAAAAAGAUAGUACCACAAGAGGAAGAGACGGCUAACUCUGUGCCAGCAGCCGCGGUAAGACAGAGGUCUCAAGCGUUGUUCGGAAUCACUGGGCGUAAAGCGUGCGUAGGCUGUUUCGUAAGUCGGGUGUGAAAGGCGCGGGCUCAACCCGCGGACGGCACAUGAUACUGCGAGACUAGAGUAAUGGAGGGGGAACCGGAAUUCUCGGUGUAGCAGUGAAAUGCGUAGAUAUAGAGAGGAACACUCGUGGCGAAGGCGGGUUCCUGGACAUUAACUGACGCUGAGGCACGAAGGCCAGGGGAGCGAAAGGGAUUAGAUACCCCUGUAGUC
This 446-nucleotide ribosomal RNA is filed under the name uncultured bacterium. RNAcentral describes it as "partial 16S ribosomal RNA". It matches the Rfam family "Bacterial small subunit ribosomal RNA", at positions 338 to 795 of the family's 1533-position model. The record is from RNAcentral.